Molecule: ribosomal RNA, 253 nt
Filed under: uncultured bacterium
Lineage: Bacteria
Description: partial 16S ribosomal RNA
Rfam family: Bacterial small subunit ribosomal RNA
Source: RNAcentral
UACGUAGGGUGCAAGCGUUGUCCGGAUUUAUUGGGCGUAAAGAGCUCGUAGGCGGUUUGUCGCGUCGGCCGUGAAAUCUCCACGCUUAACGUGGAGCGUGCGGUCGAUACGGGCAGACUUGAGUUCGGUAGGGGAGACUGGAAUUCCUGGUGUAGCGGUGAAAUGCGCAGAUAUCAGGAGGAACACCGGUGGCGAAGGCGGUUCUCUGGGCCUUACCUGACGCUGAGGAGCGAAAGCGUGGGGAGCGAACAGG